This 203-nucleotide ribosomal RNA is filed under the name Bacillus cereus. RNAcentral describes it as "partial 16S ribosomal RNA". It matches the Rfam family "Bacterial small subunit ribosomal RNA", at positions 1340 to 1533 of the family's 1533-position model. Lineage: Bacteria; Bacillati; Bacillota; Bacilli; Caryophanales; Bacillaceae. The record is from RNAcentral.
AAUCGCGGAUCAGCAUGCCGCGGUGAAUACGUUCCCGGGCCUUGUACACACCGCCCGUCACACCACGAGAGUUUGUAACACCCGAAGUCGGUGGGGUAACCUUUUGGAGCCAGCCGCCUAAGGUGGGACAGAUGAUUGGGGUGAAGUCGUAACAAGGUAGCCGUAUCGGAAGGUGCGGCUGGAUCACCUCCUUUCUAUGGAGA